CGCACAUUGCGCCCCUUGGUAUUCCAUGGGGCAUGCCUGUUCGAGCGUCAUCUACACCCUCAAGCUCUGCUUGGUGUUGGGCGUCUGUCCCGCCUCUGCGCGCGGACUCGCCCCAAACUCAUUGGCAGUGGUCCUUGCCUCUCGCGCAGCACAUUGCGCUUCUCGAGGUGUACGGUCCGCAUCCACCAAGCAACACAACCUUUGACCUCGGAUCAGGUAGGGAUACCCGCUGAACUUAA
Molecule: unclassified non-coding RNA, 239 nt
Filed under: Pleosporales sp.
Lineage: Eukaryota; Fungi; Ascomycota; Dothideomycetes; Pleosporales
Description: partial contains 5.8S ribosomal RNA, internal transcribed spacer 2, and large subunit ribosomal RNA
Source: RNAcentral